AUCGAGCAUUAUGGAAUAUGGAUCCAAACAUUCCAAGAUAGAACAUUCCCUAUAAAAUCCUAUUUCAGUAUAAACAAAGAGUAAGCUGGUUUAUUUUAAGAAGUUCUGUGAGAUGUUGGGAGUUUCUUUGGAGAGCUAUAGUACCAGUUUGUCUAUUUUGGUGUAGCAUUUGCAAUUCCCUUGUCCUGUCAGCAAACUUUCCAAUUUAGUGAAUAAACAUUUGUACGAUUAAUU
Non-coding RNA from Pelobates cultripes (western spadefoot toad), 234 nucleotides. Lineage: Eukaryota; Metazoa; Chordata; Amphibia; Anura; Pelobatidae. The record is from the annotation of a GenBank genome assembly.